AUCGAGCUGAGGCGUUUCAAAUAGGACGAAACGCGCAUCCUUGAU
Molecule: non-coding RNA, 45 nt
Filed under: Schistosoma curassoni
Lineage: Eukaryota; Metazoa; Platyhelminthes; Trematoda; Strigeidida; Schistosomatidae
Source: RNAcentral